GGUUGUGUAGUGUAGUGGUUAUCACUUUGGAUUUUGACGUCAGAUCGACAGAAAAUUCCAAUAACCCCGGUUCGAACCCGGGCACGACCU
This is a transfer RNA of Aspergillus aculeatus ATCC 16872, 90 nucleotides long. It matches the Rfam family "tRNA". Rfam says of the family: Transfer RNA (tRNA) molecules are approximately 80 nucleotides in length. Their secondary structure includes four short double-helical elements and three loops (D, anti-codon, and T loops). Lineage: Eukaryota; Fungi; Ascomycota; Eurotiomycetes; Eurotiales; Aspergillaceae. The record is from Rfam.